Molecule: long non-coding RNA, 2297 nt
Filed under: Triticum aestivum (bread wheat)
Lineage: Eukaryota; Viridiplantae; Streptophyta; Magnoliopsida; Poales; Poaceae
Description: long non-coding RNA (TAES_LNC002700)
Source: RNAcentral
AGGUCAUGUGUUCAAUUCCCAUAAUGUUGAUUUAUUUUGACCCAAUUAUUUUCACGAAAGCCCAUAAAAGGCCCUUCAACAUACAAGUACCUGGGCCGGAUCGCUUAGCGUGUGUAAACCAAGGGAGAAGGACUAAACCAAACCAAGAAUACAUAUUCCCUUUAAUAGUAGGUAUAGAUAUAGAUAUAGAUUUCAGACUUCGCCUAUGAAAUCUUGUUUUUUUCAGACUUUUUGCAUUUAGUAAUUAUGAGAAGUCAUCAAUCUCGAUCGCGGGUGCAUGACACGAAGAACAAGAAUUGAUAUUGAUUGUCGAUCAAAAAUGCUGCCGCCACAUGACAUACGCACGUAUGCAUAUGCAGCAUAGGUACGGUGAGCUCACUAGCUCAGCUUUUGUGGCCACCGGCAGCGGGGGCGGGAGUGGGAGCGGCGGCGGUGGCGGCGGCAGCCAUGGCGAAGAUGGUCUCGACCAUGGCGGUCUCAUAGGUCAUAAGCCUGAUCUUAGGGUUUUUGGGAUUAGUGGGGGCGUAGGCCUCCUUGACCGCGGACUCGAGGGCGGGGACGUAUUUGUAGCCCCCGGAUGCACCGCCCGUGGUCUCCUUGAUGGCCUUGUCGAAGGCGGAGUCGAAGACGGCGGACCUGUCCUUGGCCGGGGCAGCGUCGGCGGCGGUGGCUGCAGUCCUGAAGGCGGCGUCAAUCUGGCCGAUGGCCUUCAGCUCGCCGGCAGGGAUCGGGCCCUUGACUUCCUCGGCAGCGGGCUUGACGGCGUGCACCUCGAGGAUGCCGGCGAUGAUGCGGAGCGACUCGCCGAAGAUAGCCACGAAGGAGUCGUACUUGGCCUCCGGGGUAGCGCCCUUGGUGUCCCAUAAGGCCCUCAUCAUAGCGAAGGUGACCCUGGUGUUGAGACUGUCGGUGGAGCUGGACGCGUCGGUGACCCCCUCGAGAAACCAGUUGCCAUUGUUCUGUCUGAAGGUCUUCACGAAUAUAUUGCCCUUGUCCUCUGGAGGGGCUGCGGCUGCGGCCGCCACGGCCGCCUUGAAGGCGUUGUUGGCCUUCUCAAUUAGCUUCUGCUCCUCGGUCGUGGCCUUGGGCUGUGCCCCGGCCGGGGCGUUGCCGGCUUCGGCGGCGUACGAGACGGCUGGCCCUGCCACGAGGGCGACGGCCACCACUAGCGCCACCGUGCAUUGCUGCACUGCCAUUGCUGCUGCUCGUCUCGCGUUGGUCGAUCGGUUUGCACAGUACGUCGGACGACAAAUUGUGGUGUGGUGUGGUGUGUGAGAGAAUGAAGGAGCUUAUUUCGCGCGCUCUCUCUCUCUAUAUAUCCGUACGGUGAGAGUCCAGGAGAGAUUACCGCGCCCAAAUUAGCAAUCUCCUCCUCUCCUCUCCUUUUUUAGCCAAACUAAUGAGCUAGGUUUAACUGGAUUCAUGCCACCGCAUGCAGCUUCCACGACUUGGAAAAAUACUGAUAUGACCACGACUGCUGAUGCUGUUGUUGCUCUUCACACAUUGUCACAUUUUAAUCAACUAUAGAUCAAUAAUAUUUGCAUGCCAAAAAUAUUUCAAUUAAGAGACUUUUGUUGCCGCGGCCGGUAAACAUGAAGAGUCAAGAAAGAAAAAUACUCCUACGAUAAAGCAAAUGAAAAAGAAUUGCAUGUAGCCAUAGAUGACUGACAUGAAGAGUCGAAAGAAAAAUACUCCUACGAUAAAGUAAGUGAAAAAGAAUUGCAUGCAGUAGCAUACAUGCAUGCACCACAUGAUGUACGUCCACAUGAUUACGCUGAUGGUUUUGAUUGGCGUGCAACCAAGAUAUUACAUACACAUGAUACACAUGAUACUAAUGUAUGAUACUAUCUUCGUAGUGCAUAAUAUCAUAAGAGUGAAUUACACUGGUGGUGCUAGAAGUUGANNNNNNNNNNNNNNNNNNNNNNNNNNNNNNNNNNNNNNNNNNNNNNNNNNNNNNNNNNNNNNNNNNNNNNNNNNNNNNNNNNNNNNNNNNNNNNNNNNNNCACGUAUGCAUAUGCAGCAUAGGUACGGUGAGCUCACUAGCUCAGCUUUUGUGGCCACCGGCAGCGGGGGCGGGAGUGGGAGCGGCGGCGGUGGCGGCGGCAGCCAUGGCGAAGAUGGUCUCGACCAUGGCGGUCUCAUAGGUCAUAAGCCUGAUCUUAGGGUUUUUGGGAUUAGUGGGGGCGUAGGCCUCCUUGACCGCGGACUCGAGGGCGGGGACGUAUUUGUAGCCCCCGGAUGCACCGCCCGUGGUCUCCUUGAUGGCCUUGUCGAAGGCGGAGUCGAAGACGGCGGAC